RNAcentral lists this ribosomal RNA (253 nucleotides) under uncultured bacterium. Its description in RNAcentral is "partial 16S ribosomal RNA". It matches the Rfam family "Bacterial small subunit ribosomal RNA", at positions 524 to 776 of the family's 1533-position model. The record is from RNAcentral.
GACAGAGGUGCCGAGCGUUAGGCGGAAUCACUGGGCUUAAAGCGUGUGUAGGCGGGUGCCUAAGUACCUUGUGAAAUCCCACGGCUCAACCGUGGAACUGCUGGGUAUACUGGGUGCCUUGGGUCAUCUAGGGGCUGCCGGAACAAAUGGUGGAGCGGUGAAAUGCGUAGAUAUCAUUUGGAACGCCAACGGCGAAAGCAGGCAGCUGGGGAUGCACCGACGCUGAGACACGAAAGCCAGGGGAGCGAACGGG